Molecule: ribosomal RNA, 253 nt
Filed under: uncultured bacterium
Lineage: Bacteria
Description: partial 16S ribosomal RNA
Rfam family: Bacterial small subunit ribosomal RNA
Source: RNAcentral
CGAAGGGGCUAGCGUUGCUCGGAAUUACUGGGCGUAAAGGGAGCGUAGGCGGACAUUUAAGUCAGGGGUGAAAUCCCGGGGCUCAACCUCGGAAUUGCCUUUGAUACUGGGUGUCUUGAGUAUGAGAGAGGUGUGUGGAACUCCGAGUGUAGAGGUGAAAUUCGUAGAUAUUCGGAAGGACACCAGUGGCGAAGGCGACACACUGGCUCAUUACUGACGCUGAGGCUCGAAAGCGUGGGGAGCAAACAGGAUU